AAGCGUUGUUCGGAUUUAUUGGGCGUAAAGCGCGUGUAGGCGGUCUGUUAAGUCUGAUGUGAAAGCCCCGGGCUCAACCCGGGAAGUGCAUUGGAAACUGGCAGACUUGAGUACGGGAGAGGGUAGUGGAAUUCCGAGUGCAGGGGUGAAAUCCGUAGAUAUUCGGAGGAACACCGGUGGCGAAGGCGGCUACCUGGACCGAUACUGACGCUGAGACGCGAAAGCGUGGGGAGCAAACAGGAUUAGAUACCCUGGUAGUCCACGCCGUAAACGAUGGGUACUAGGUGUUGCGGGUAUUGACCCCUGCAGUGCC
Molecule: ribosomal RNA, 313 nt
Filed under: uncultured delta proteobacterium
Lineage: Bacteria; Deltaproteobacteria
Description: bacterial SSU rRNA
Rfam family: Bacterial small subunit ribosomal RNA
Source: RNAcentral